CCUUGUACACACCGCCCGUCAAGCCACGAAAGUGGGGUGCGCCCGAAGUCGCCAAGUUAACCCGCAAGGGAGGCAAGCGCCGAAGGUGAACUCCGCGAUUGGGACU
RNAcentral lists this ribosomal RNA (106 nucleotides) under uncultured bacterium. Its description in RNAcentral is "partial 16S ribosomal RNA". It matches the Rfam family "Bacterial small subunit ribosomal RNA", at positions 1379 to 1482 of the family's 1533-position model. The record is from RNAcentral.